GAGGGCAUAACUCAGUUGGAGAGUGUGUGCUUAGCGUGCACAAGGUCCUGGGUUCAAUUCCCAGUACCUCCA
Camelus ferus (Wild Bactrian camel) is the source of this 72-nucleotide transfer RNA. It matches the Rfam family "tRNA". Rfam says of the family: Transfer RNA (tRNA) molecules are approximately 80 nucleotides in length. Their secondary structure includes four short double-helical elements and three loops (D, anti-codon, and T loops). Further hydrogen bonds mediate the characteristic L-shaped molecular structure. tRNAs have two regions of fundamental functional importance: the anti-codon, which is responsible for specific mRNA codon recognition, and the 3' end, to which the tRNAs corresponding amino acid is attached (by aminoacyl-tRNA synthetases). tRNAs cope with the degeneracy of the genetic code in two manners: having more than one tRNA (with a specific anti-codon) for a particular amino acid; and 'wobble' base-pairing, i.e. permitting non-standard base-pairing at the 3rd anti-codon position. NCBI's taxonomy places the organism in Eukaryota, Metazoa, Chordata, Mammalia, Artiodactyla, Camelidae. The record is from Rfam.